AUAACCGUGGUAAUUCUAGAGCUAAUACAUGCGCCCAUACCCGACUCUGUGGAAGGGUUGUGUUUAUUAGUUACAGAACCAACCCAGGCUCUGCCUGGUCUUGUGGUGAUUCAUAAUAACCGAACGAAUCGCAUGGCAUCUGCUGGCGAUGAAUCAUUCAAGUUUCUGACCUAUCAGCUUCCGACGGUAGGGUAUUGGCCUACCGUGGCAAUGACGGGUAACGGAGAAUUAGGGUUCGAUUCCGG
This 245-nucleotide ribosomal RNA is filed under the name Gephyrocapsa oceanica. Its description in RNAcentral is "partial Eukaryotic small subunit ribosomal RNA". It matches the Rfam family "Eukaryotic small subunit ribosomal RNA", at positions 143 to 386 of the family's 1831-position model. The record is from RNAcentral. Lineage: Eukaryota; Haptophyta; Isochrysidales; Noelaerhabdaceae.